This 284-nucleotide ribosomal RNA is filed under the name uncultured eukaryote. RNAcentral describes it as "partial small subunit ribosomal RNA". It matches the Rfam family "Eukaryotic small subunit ribosomal RNA", at positions 587 to 972 of the family's 1831-position model. The record is from RNAcentral.
AGCUCCAAUCGCGUACAUUAAAGUUGUUGCGGUUAAAACGCUCGUAGUUGGAUUAUCCACGACUUUUACUUUGAGGAAAUUAGAAGGUUUCAAGCAGGCGCACGCCUUGAACACAUUAGCAUGGAAUAAGAAGAUAGGACUUCUGUUCUAUUCUGUUGGUUUCUAGAGCUGAGGUAAUGAUCGAUAGGGAUAGUUGGGGGCAUUCGUAUUUAACUGUCAGAGGUGGAAUUCUUGGAUCUGUUAAAGAUGGACUGCUGCGAAAGCAUGGGCCAAGGAUGUUUUCA